UGCAUGUGGGUUGUUAAGUACUUAGAAUUAGUCAUUGGUGGAUGGUUGUAUAUUCUUAAAAAAUAAUUAAUAUUUUUAAGAUUGACAGGGAUUUGAUAUGUAACCUUUUCCCUCAGCCCUGUAAUGAUUGCUCUAGAUUUUUUUUUUAUAUUUUUCACAUAGUAUUUCAUAUACCUUCUAUACACUGUAAACUAUAUCUCACUCUUUUGUCAGAAUACAGUAUUGAUAUUGUUUGUACUUUAUGUUGUUUUCUGUAAAUAACAAAUUAUACUGAUCUGUUGAUUGUACAUAAUGAAUGC
Molecule: long non-coding RNA, 299 nt
Filed under: Mytilus galloprovincialis (Mediterranean mussel)
Lineage: Eukaryota; Metazoa; Mollusca; Bivalvia; Mytilida; Mytilidae
Source: RNAcentral